GCGAAGCUGCUGCACCGAAAAACUUUGUCGCUGGUAAGGUUUUGUUUUUCGAUUUUUUCCGGCCAACCGAUGCCCCUUAACGUGUUUUCUCGCAGGGAUAAGUACAAAACCGGUUGAAAUCGGUUAAAACUAGCCAAAAACGGCCAACUUGAGGCAAACUGUCGUCAUAAACGACGGUGCCGUCAUCGAAGCACAGCAACGCCGCUGUGCCGGAAUCCCAAAAUUGGCUGAAAAGAGUUUCUAACAUCGAUUU
RNAcentral lists this long non-coding RNA (253 nucleotides) under Carica papaya (papaya). RNAcentral's name for it is "long non-coding RNA (CPAP_LNC010036)". Lineage: Eukaryota; Viridiplantae; Streptophyta; Magnoliopsida; Brassicales; Caricaceae. The record is from RNAcentral.